GCUAAAUUAGCUCAGUUGGUAGAGCAACUGAUUCGUAAUCAGUAGGUCGGGGGUUCGACUCCCCCAUUUAGCUCCA
RNAcentral lists this transfer RNA (76 nucleotides) under Candidatus Cloacimonadota bacterium. Its description in RNAcentral is "tRNA-Thr". It matches the Rfam family "tRNA". Rfam says of the family: Transfer RNA (tRNA) molecules are approximately 80 nucleotides in length. The record is from RNAcentral. Lineage: Bacteria; Pseudomonadati; Candidatus Cloacimonadota. RNAcentral also lists the same sequence under 1 other name.